UACGAAGGGUGCAAGCGUUACUCGGAAUUACUGGGCGUAAAGGGUGCGUAGGUGGUUUGUUAAGUCUGCUGUGAAAUCCCCGGGCUCAACCUGGGAAUGGCAGUGGAUACUGGCAAGCUAGAGUGCGGUAGAGGGUAGUGGAAUUCCCGGUGUAGCAGUGAAAUGCGUAGAGAUCAUGAGGAAGACCAGUGGCGAAGGCGGGUCUCUGGACAGUUCCUGACACUGAGGCACGAAGGCCAGGGGAGCAAACGGG
Molecule: ribosomal RNA, 253 nt
Filed under: uncultured prokaryote
Description: partial 16S ribosomal RNA
Rfam family: Bacterial small subunit ribosomal RNA
Source: RNAcentral